AAGAAUUCGCUCAUAGACCGUGAGAUGCAAAUUUUUGUCUUUCCAAAGCGCGCGAUACGUGGGAAUAAAAGAAUUAAAUUUUUUUCUAUAUACAUACCUUCCUUGUUUUAUUUGCUCGAUUUAUUUGUUCCAAAAAAUUCCGAUCUAGAUAAUAUAAUGAUCUAGAUUCAUAUCAGUAUUUAUAAGUC
This 188-nucleotide transfer RNA is filed under the name Rheum palmatum. Its description in RNAcentral is "tRNA-Tyr". Lineage: Eukaryota; Viridiplantae; Streptophyta; Magnoliopsida; Caryophyllales; Polygonaceae. The record is from RNAcentral.